GGAUCUUAGUGCCUGUUCAAUGCCAUUUCAGGCUGCUCUUGUCAAAGAUCCAGGUGUUUCUGUCAACCGUGUGAUUUGGAGUCCAGAUGGUGCUUUAUUCGGAGUUGCUUACUCAAGGCACAUUGUUC
Molecule: long non-coding RNA, 128 nt
Organism: Arachis stenosperma
Lineage: Eukaryota; Viridiplantae; Streptophyta; Magnoliopsida; Fabales; Fabaceae
Exons: 3
Source: RefSeq, a predicted model, not a curated record